GCCAGUGUGGUGUAGUGGUCUAAACAUUGGACUAUGACUCUGGAGACCAGGGUUCAAAUCCCCAUUGAGUA
Molecule: transfer RNA, 71 nt
Filed under: Phrynosoma platyrhinos (Desert horned lizard)
Lineage: Eukaryota; Metazoa; Chordata; Lepidosauria; Squamata; Phrynosomatidae
Description: tRNA-OTHER
Source: RNAcentral